Long non-coding RNA from Amblyraja radiata (thorny skate), 144 nucleotides. RefSeq lists it as uncharacterized. The transcript has 3 exons. The record is from RefSeq and is a predicted model, not a curated record. Lineage: Eukaryota; Metazoa; Chordata; Chondrichthyes; Rajiformes; Rajidae.
UCUAACUAGAGGUUGGACUAACAGACUAGAUAAUAUGAGACACUCAACCAGAUGACUGUUUGAGUAUGCAGCGGUAUACAGUAAAACAUGACAUGGAUCAGGUCAAUUAAUACUGACUGAUCUACAGUGAUGCACCAUAGUUCA